GUGGUGAAAGUGAAGACAGGAGUAAAUGGAUUUGGCCAUAUUGGGUGCCUGGUCACCAGGGCACCAGAGCUGCUUUUAACUCUGGCAGAAUGGAUGUUGUCACCUCAAUGACCCCUUCAUUGACCUCAACUACAUGGUCUACAUGUUCCAAUAUGAUUCUACCCACGGCAAGUUCCGCGGCACCAUCAAAGCUGAGAAAAGGGAAGCUUGUCAUCAAUAGGAAAUGGGAAUCUCAUCCCCAUCUUCUAGAAGCCAGAUCCCAGCAAAAUCAAAUUGGGUGACGAUGCUGGCACUGGUUAUGUCAUGGAGUCCACCAGCAGCAUCUUCACGACCAUGGGGAAGGCUGGGGCUCGCUUAGGAUGGGCAGCCAAAGGGAUCACCAUCUCUGCCCCCUCUGCCCAUGCCCCCAUGUUUGUGAUGGACAUGAACCAUGAGAGAUACAAAAACCUCAUGAUCGUCAGCAAUGCCUCCUGCACCACCAACUGCUUACCCUCCGGCCAAGGUCAUCCGUGACAACGUUUUUUUUUGGUUUGGCUGAGCCACUGACCCUGGUCAUCCAUGACAUCUUUGGCAACAUGGAGGGGCUCAUGACCACAGCCCCUCUGGGAAACUGGCGUGACAAACAUCAUCCCUGCAUCUACUGGCACGGCCAAGGCUGUGGGCAAAUUCCUGCACUGAACAGGAAGCUCACUGGCACAGCCUUCCGAGUCCCUGCCACCAAUGUGUUGGUGGUUGACCCGACCUGCCAUCUGGAGAAACCUGCCAAAUAUGAUGACCUCAAGAAGGUGGUGAAACAGGCAUUGGGGGGGCCCCCUCAAGGGCAUCCCGGGCUACAUUGAGAACAAGGUCUCCUCUGACUUUUAACAGCGACACCCAUCCUUCCACCUUCUGUGCUGGGGCUAGCAUUGCCCUUGAUGACACUUUGUCAAGUUCAUUUCCUGGCAUGACAAUGUAUUUGGCUUCAGCAAAAAGGUGG
Molecule: long non-coding RNA, 976 nt
Filed under: Homo sapiens (human)
Lineage: Eukaryota; Metazoa; Chordata; Mammalia; Primates; Hominidae
Description: non-protein coding lnc-CNN1-7:1
Source: RNAcentral